Molecule: long non-coding RNA, 4027 nt
Filed under: Panthera leo (lion)
Lineage: Eukaryota; Metazoa; Chordata; Mammalia; Carnivora; Felidae
Description: lncRNA (ENSPLOG00000016877.1)
Rfam family: tRNA (bases 1316-1400)
Source: RNAcentral
GGAACUAUUCAACCUUAGAUGCUGACCCUCAUGUGCUGUUAUUUUGAAAAUUACAAAUUAUCGUGGAGAUAAUCAACCAAAUGGAGAAAUCAGAAUCCGGGAGAAACCCUCCCUGAGAGAUCUCUAGCCCCCACCGACAUGUUGUCUAGAUUAAAAACAUUUGCCACUGGGACUCAAAUAUAGCUCUUCCCGUGUAGGGCUUUGCAAGAACAAAGUAACCCAUAUCACUGUGGGAGUCAUCGGGUGCUUGCUAAGCAUGCUUGGUCUCGCUGCUACGGCUGCUCUGGUGGGUCGCUUCAGAACCCAGAGGAAGUCAGGGGCAAUCCCAAGGAACAUCGGGAGCGUUCCUGGCCCAGACCCUCCAGCACAGGCCCUCCACAGCCCACGCGGUCUGAGCCGGCCAGCCCUGAUGGAGCUACAGCCCUUGUACAGCAACGUCAGUCCUGGCGAUGACGACCUGGUUUAUUCCCAGAUCUGGAUCAGACAGCACAGAGAAGGAAGUCCAGCACAUUCACCAAGGACGCAUCAGAAGGGUGAGGAACCUGCAAUCGUCUAUUCAGAGGUGAAGAGGGCAGACCCCUACGACCCUGCACGGCAGGACUGUGAGGAGGCCGCAGAAGGCUAUGAGAACGUCCCGUGCACGUCGCUGGCCUCGGACCACUAGCCCCAUACCCAGGGAGGCUCCCAGAUGCCUUCUCCCCAUUCUCUGCAACCACUCACCUUCCGUCUGGGAGGCUGGGUGAAAGAUCCGUCCCACUGCUCCGUGACUGAGUCUGGGUGUUCUGUGGGAACAGAAGGGGCAGCAUUUCAGUAAAUGCUGCAUGUUUUCACAGUAGAGACACAUGUGAAGGCAGGGCAGUUGGGCCUUCACCUCCUGGGCCCGAGGAGCAGAGGAGGAAGGAGGGAUCGUCUAGCCGGGAUCACGAGGGCACAAUCAAUGGCCACGUGUUCCAAGCAUGAUCAAAAGCCUUCAAUGCACCAUCUCUGAAUAAACAGUUUGCUCCAAACACCUUGCUUCCUUUUUUAGGUAGACAGAUGGUAAGUGAUGAUGCUGAUGCUGAUAUUAAUGAAUAAGAUUCGGGGGCACCUGGGUGACUGAGUCGGUUGAGGGUCCGCUUUCGGCUCAGGUCAUGAUCUCUCAGUCCGUGAGUUCGAGCCCCGCGUUGGGCUCUGUGCCGGCAGCUCAGAGCCCGGAGCCUGCUUCGGAUUCUGUGUCUCCCUCUCUCUCUGCCCCUCCCCUGCUCAUGCUCUGUCUCUCUCUGUCUCAAAAAUAAACGUUAAAAAAAAUUUUUUUUAAUGAAUAAGAUUCGGGGAUGCCUGGGUGGCUCAGUCGGUUGAGCGUCCGACUUCAGCUCAGGUCAUGAUCUCACAGUCCGUGAGUUCAAGCCCCACGUCGGGCUUUGUGCUGACAGCUCAGACCCUGGAGCCUGCUUUGGCUUCUGUGUCUCCCUCUCUCUCCCUGCCCCUCCCCUGUGCACGCUCUGUCUCUGUCUCAAGAAUAAAUAAACAUUAAAAAAAUUAAAAAAAAAGAUAGAUGCAGGUAUGGGACACACACCGCAACCCACACAGAGUCUGUGGUCUUCAAGACCCUUCCUCUCUCACAACAUCAAACUUCCCCCGUACCCAUAACAGCUGAAUUCCACCGUCUAAUUGUUCAACAUCCACUACUUGGAGGCUCCGGAGGCCUGACCACCAACCCCGGAAGCCCAGUGGAGCUGGCGACUCUCACGACUCAGCAGGCGAAGCCUAGUGCCGCCCCGGAGCCCGCAUGGCCUGAGCCGGCAGAGGAGGGAGGGGGCACGGCAGUCCUGGGCCCACGGGAGACACCCUCCCUCUGCCCACCGGCUCCCGCUUGAUUCUUCCAGGGCCUAGCAAGCACUGAAUGUCUACAACUGAAGAAACAUUGGACACGUGUGGGGGAUAAGUUGAAGAAUUCUCUGAGCUUGCACCGAUGGGUUAACAAGGCUUGGGGCGGAAAGCCGCUUCCACAGGACGAAAGCGUCCGCGAACAGGUAGAGGCGGAAGGCCGCCACCGCAGGGCGAAAGCGCCCCACGUUAGCCAGCGAGAAAGAUGGCUCGUUAAGCCUGAGGCGGCAUGCCUCACUUAUCUUAGUCCCUAGAAAAGUUAAGAUAAACAGAAACGGUGCCUGCAGUAAAGGGCCGCCUGCUGGGCUCCCAGAUGUCCAUCUGUCUUGACCCUAAGCCCUAACACCGCAUACCUUCGAAACCCCUUCUCUCUCACACACGUGAGUUAACAAUUACUGUUUUAUCGUUUCUUUCUGCACAUCCAUCACGUACGUCAGCCUUCUGACCCUAAUAAAUACGGAGCGAGGACCCUUACUCGGGGUUCUUCUCUCCGCCCGGACAUCAGCCUCUCUCGUUAUCAUUUCUGCGUCCGCUCUCUUGCUGGACGAGAGAGAACUCCAGACUCAAAGUCUGCAACAAAAAAAGCAUGCCAUGGGUGCUUAAGUCUCUGGAGAAGGGGCAGAGUCGCUUGGAGUCACUUGUGUUCGUAAGGGAUAGCUGGAGUUGUUGGCCUGUAUCACCUGGGGUGACGCUGAACUGUUCGCAGCCACGAAAACAAGAGGCCUUAGCAAGCUAGCACACUCACUGACGACGGAUGUGUAUGAACUGAUACAACUUAUGGGCAGCGUGGAUUUUACACCCCCCCCCUUGUUUAUGACGUUAAGUAAACAGCACAGUGACGUUUUGCAAACCUUUGAAAUAACUCAAGAGUAAAAAGUAAUAAGUGUAUUUCAGAUGUUAUUCUUUUCCCCCGCGGGCGUCAGAAGCUUAGGCAACAGGAAGUGUAACAGACAGCAAAAUGCAGUCCAGUCUGAGGUUUCAAUCUUAGCCUUAAGAAAUCAGCUGGCGAGCUAAUUUGCUGAGGGACAAAAGUGAUGUCCUUCGUAAAGAAGAAAUACAUAUUUAAAAAAAUUUUUUAAUGUUUAUUUUUGAGAAAAAGACACAGUGUGCAAGCAGGGGAGGGACAGAGAGAGAGGGAGACACAGAAUCCAAAGCAGGCUCUAGGCUCCAAGCUGUCAGCACAGAGCCCGACGUGGGCCUGAACUCAUGAACCACGAGAUCAUGACCUGAGCCAAAAUCAGACGCUUAACCGACUGAGCCACCCAGACGCCCCUCUUUUUUUUUUUAAUUUUCUUUUUUAAGUUUUUUCUUAAGUAAGCUCUACACCCAACAUGGGGCUUGAACUCAUGACCCUGAGAUCGAGUCACAUGGCUCCACUGAGUGAGCCACCCAGGUGCCAGGAAAUACAUAUUUUUAUUAUGAAAGAGGAACUUGAUGUCUUACUUCCAUAUCAUCAGAUACAAAAUGCUAUCUAGAACGUAUGCCUGGCCUUUAAAGAGAGCAAGAAAUCCAGGUGAAAUCUGUGUCUACGCUUCGAUCUUGCUCUGAAUGCCCCCCAACUUGGGGCUGCGGGAAGAAUAAAGCCAUAUAAGGAAGGCAGGACAUGCCAUGAGGUGCCAGCUGUGGGAAACCCAUCUAAAAGAGUGGUGACAAAAGGGAGCAUCAAGGCAGCAUCCCGGGCCCAGUAAGAGUCACUCUGCAGGAGGGCAUGUCCACAGUAUGAGUACCCACCAUGAUGACAGCCACUCGAGCAGACAGGAUCAGCGAUGCCAGCGAGACAUGAGGACGGCAGGGGGACAGAACAGUUCUGAGGGGAUGCGGACCUUCCUUGCAGAACCCCUUGUCCAGGUCCUCAAACUGAGGACCAACAGUACCUGCGAGCAGCCAGGGAGACUCUGAGGAAUGUUUAGGAGAACAUCCAAGAGGAAAUCAUGCGUCCAAGCAGUCACGAAGGUAACGUGGGAGAUAUCAAGAUUUAAGACAUUAUUUUCGUUCUUUGCAUUAUAUUGAUUUUAUUUAUUUACAAAUGUCUUGAAGAGUAAUUUAUACACAAUAAAUCACACAUACCUAAAGUAUACAAUUCGAUGUUUUGACAGUUGUAUACAUCCACAAAACCACCACCACAAUCAAGAUCCCAAACAUCUCCCUCACUACCCAGGGC